GGAAAUUUUUUCACAUGGUGACUAUCACUUCUUUACUGUAUAAAAAUUAUUCUUAGUUUUCUCUCUUCUUUAUCCGACUCCACAGUAUAAAAACAAAAUGAAAUAAGAGUAUUUUAUACUACAGAAACAGGACAAUAGUCAUUCAGUAGUUUGAUAUCCUGUGUCUGUUCUUGAUUUGUGCUGAGUUGGGAACCAACAAGUUUAAAAAAAAUCUCAGUAUUCAGUGACUAACCCAAGCCCAAAUCCUGCCAACAGGGCAGCCUUCGGAGAAACCACACGACACCUUCAGAAGAGAUGUUUAAAAUUUGAACAAAGUGGGCUUUGUACACUUGCUGGUGCCAUUUGUGGCAGAGAAGGACUUUCUCGGAUUGCUUUGGGAUGAUGAAGAGCGUGUCUCUCAUCCAAAAACUGAAAUGAUACCUUCAGGUGAGUCCGGAGUCCAAAUCCUCAAAGGAGAGAUUUAGGAAAGCAUGUGAGAGGAUCAGGUUUAAACCAAAUAAUCCCUGAAGAAGAAAUUCCAUUCAGGUUCUUUCUUUAAAACAGGAAAUUAAACAGAGUCAUUAUAAGGCAAACUCAAGAGAGUGGUAGCACCAUCCCUCCCUACUGUUAGUUGCAUGAAUUUCAUUUUGGGUCAUCUGUGAAUUGAAAACGUGAUUUAAAUUCGAUCCUGGUGACCAUAGCUCAUUGCACAUACAAUGAUCAGAAU
Molecule: long non-coding RNA, 706 nt
Filed under: Bos grunniens (domestic yak)
Lineage: Eukaryota; Metazoa; Chordata; Mammalia; Artiodactyla; Bovidae
Description: lncRNA (ENSBGRG00000014472.1)
Source: RNAcentral